This 73-nucleotide transfer RNA is filed under the name Saccoglossus kowalevskii. RNAcentral's name for it is "tRNA-Tyr". It matches the Rfam family "tRNA". From Rfam's summary of the family: Transfer RNA (tRNA) molecules are approximately 80 nucleotides in length. Their secondary structure includes four short double-helical elements and three loops (D, anti-codon, and T loops). Further hydrogen bonds mediate the characteristic L-shaped molecular structure. tRNAs have two regions of fundamental functional importance: the anti-codon, which is responsible for specific mRNA codon recognition, and the 3' end, to which the tRNAs corresponding amino acid is attached (by aminoacyl-tRNA synthetases). tRNAs cope with the degeneracy of the genetic code in two manners: having more than one tRNA (with a specific anti-codon) for a particular amino acid; and 'wobble' base-pairing, i.e. permitting non-standard base-pairing at the 3rd anti-codon position. The record is from RNAcentral. Lineage: Eukaryota; Metazoa; Hemichordata; Enteropneusta; Harrimaniidae.
CCUUCGAUAGCUCAGUUGGUAGAGCGGAUGACUGUAGAUCCUUAGGUCGCUGGUUCGAAUCCGGCUCGACGGA